UACAGAGGUCCCAAGCGUUGUUCGGAUUCACUGGGCGUAAAGGGUGCGUAGGUGGCUGGGUCAGUCUGAUGUGAAAUCUCCGAGCUUAACUCGGAAACUGCAUUGGAUACUGCUCGGCUCGAGGGUUGGAGGGGGGACUGGAAUACUUGGUGUAGCAGUGAAAUGCGUAGAUAUCAAGUGGAACACCAGUGGCGAAGGCGAGUCCCUGGACAACUCCUGACACUGAGGCACGAAAGCUAGGGGAGCAAACGGG
This 253-nucleotide ribosomal RNA is filed under the name uncultured bacterium. RNAcentral's name for it is "partial 16S ribosomal RNA". It matches the Rfam family "Bacterial small subunit ribosomal RNA", at positions 524 to 776 of the family's 1533-position model. The record is from RNAcentral.